This 497-nucleotide ribosomal RNA is filed under the name uncultured bacterium. RNAcentral describes it as "partial 16S ribosomal RNA". It matches the Rfam family "Bacterial small subunit ribosomal RNA", at positions 28 to 507 of the family's 1533-position model. The record is from RNAcentral.
GAUGAACGCUGGCGGCGUGCCUAAUACAUGCAAGUCGAGCGAACAGAUAAGGAGCUUGCUCCCUUGACGUUAGCGGCGGACGGGUGAGUAACACGUGGGUAACCUACCUAUAAGACUGGGAUAACUUCGGGAAACCGGAGCUAAUACCGGAUAAUAUUUCGAACCGCAUGGUUCGAUAGUGAAAGAUGGUUUUGCUAUCACUUAUAGAUGGACCCGCGCCGUAUUAGCUAGUUGGUAAGGUAACGGCUUACCAAGGCGACGAUACGUAGCCGACCUGAGAGGGUGAUCGGCCACACUGGAACUGAGACACGGUCCAGACUCCUACGGGAGGCAGCAGUAGGGAAUCUUCCGCAAUGGGCGAAAGCCUGACGGAGCAACGCCGCGUGAGUGAUGAAGGUCUUCGGAUCGUAAAACUCUGUUAUUAGGGAAGAACAUACGUGUAAGUAACUGUGCACGUCUUGACGGUACCUAAUCAGAAAGCCACGGCUAACUACGUG